Small nuclear RNA from Zalophus californianus (California sea lion), 107 nucleotides. NCBI's taxonomy places the organism in Eukaryota, Metazoa, Chordata, Mammalia, Carnivora, Otariidae. The record is from Ensembl.
UUGGAGGAAGAGGGCACAAGAAAAAGCCAAUGGGAACGAUACAGAGAAGAUUAGCAUGGCCCCUGUGCAAGGAUGACACACAAAUUCAUGAAGCAUUCCAUAUUUUG